UGGGGAAUAUUGCACAAUGGGGGAAACCCUGAUGCAGCGACGCCGCGUGAGCGAAGAAGGUUUUCGAAUCGUAAAGCUCUGUCCUAUGAGAAGAUAAUGACGGUAUCAUAGGAGGAAGCCCCGGCUAAAUACGUGCCAGCAGCCGCGGUAAUACGUAUGGGGCGAGCGUUGUCCGGAAUUAUUGGGCGUAAAGGGUACGUAGGCGGUCUAUUAAGUCAGGUGUGAAAGCGUGAGGCUUAACCUCAUUAAGCACUUGAAACUGAUAGACUUGAGUGAAGGAGAGGAAAGUGGAAUUCCUAGUGUAGCGGUGAAAUGCGUAGAUAUUAGGAGGAAUACCGGUGGCGAAGGCGACUUUCUGGACUGCAACUGACGCUCAGGUACGAAAGCGUGGGGAGCAAACAGG
This 403-nucleotide ribosomal RNA is filed under the name Verrucomicrobiota bacterium. RNAcentral's name for it is "Verrucomicrobia bacterium partial 16S ribosomal RNA". It matches the Rfam family "Bacterial small subunit ribosomal RNA", at positions 355 to 776 of the family's 1533-position model. The record is from RNAcentral. Lineage: Bacteria; Pseudomonadati; Verrucomicrobiota.